Molecule: ribosomal RNA, 492 nt
Filed under: uncultured bacterium
Lineage: Bacteria
Description: partial 16S ribosomal RNA
Rfam family: Bacterial small subunit ribosomal RNA
Source: RNAcentral
AGUGAACGCUGGCGGUAGGCCUAACACAUGCAAGUCGAACGGCAGCACAGUAAGAGCUUGCUCUUACGGGUGGCGAGUGGCGGACGGGUGAGGAAUACAUCGGAAUCUACUUUUUCGUGGGGGAUAACGUAGGGAAACUUACGCUAAUACCGCAUACGACCUACGGGUGAAAGAAGGGGAUCUUCGGACCUUGCGCGAUUGAAUGAGCCGAUGUCGGAUUAGCUAGUUGGCGGGGUAAAGGCCCACCAAGGCGACGAUCCGUAGCUGGUCUGAGAGGAUGAUCAGCCACACUGGAACUGAGACACGGUCCAGACUCCUACGGGAGGCAGCAGUGGGGAAUGUUGGACAAUGGGCGCAAGCCUGAUCCAGCCAUACCGCGUGGGUGAAGAAGGCCUUCGGGUUGUAAAGCCCUUUUGUUGGGAAAGAAAAGCAGCAGGUUAAUACCCCGCUGUUCUGACGGUACCCAAAGAAUAAGCACCGGCUAACUUCGUG